UACGUAGGGUGCGAGCGUUAAUCGGAAUUACUGGGCGUAAAGCGUGCGCAGGCGGUUUUUUAAGACAGGCGUGAAAGCCCCGGGCUCAACCUGGGAAUUGCGAUGAAGACUGCAAGGCUUGAAUCUGGCAGAGGGGGGUAGAAUUCCACGUGUAGCAGUGAAAUGCGUAGAGAUGUGGAGGAACACCGAUGGCGAAGGCAGCCCCCUGGGUCAAGAUUGACGCUCAUGCACGAAAGCGUGGGGAGCAAACAGG
Molecule: ribosomal RNA, 253 nt
Filed under: uncultured bacterium
Lineage: Bacteria
Description: partial 16S ribosomal RNA
Rfam family: Bacterial small subunit ribosomal RNA
Source: RNAcentral